GAUUUAUAGCUCAGUUGGUAGAGCACCCGCCUCUUAAGCGGUAGGUCCCGGGUUCAAGCCCCGGUGAAU
Molecule: transfer RNA, 69 nt
Filed under: marine eukaryotic metagenome
Rfam family: tRNA
About the family: Transfer RNA (tRNA) molecules are approximately 80 nucleotides in length. Their secondary structure includes four short double-helical elements and three loops (D, anti-codon, and T loops).
Source: RNAcentral